This 244-nucleotide long non-coding RNA is filed under the name Coffea arabica (coffee). Its description in RNAcentral is "long non-coding RNA (CARA_LNC002683)". The record is from RNAcentral. Lineage: Eukaryota; Viridiplantae; Streptophyta; Magnoliopsida; Gentianales; Rubiaceae.
AAAAGUUUUAUGAGAAUUAUGAAAAGUAUUGUCAAUGAAUGAUAAUAAAAUUAUGAAAAAUCAAGAAACAAUUAUAGAAGAGUAUAUUUUUUUAUGGUAUUUGGUAUUGAUACUAGGAUAUAAAACAUGAAAGCAUAGUUGUAGGUACCUAAAAUGGUUAAAUAUGAUUUGUUAAUAUUCCUUUAUGAAAAUGGUGAAAUUAAAAGAAACUAAUUGGAGUAAAGAUGCAAUUUGUGAGUGCUUU